AUGGGGAAGAAGAAAAAGAUGAAGGUGAAGAUGACGGGCCCGGCAUCGGCUAUCGGCUCGCAAUCAGGGAACUCGUUCUUGCUGAGCCUUGCACCAAGGAGGAGUGCAGGGUGGAGCUGGUUGAAUGGCUCCGCCAAACCCAAGUUUGUGGUGGUGUACCUUGGUCAAGGUGUUGGAUUUAUAGAAGGGUGUAAAGACUUGGACAAUAAAAAGUGCCUCAAGCACAUCUGCAACAACAUGUUACUGCUUAAGUAUCUGAGCCUGAGGAAUACAGACAUAACUGAGCUGCCCCGUCAAAUCAACAACCUCCAUCAGCUGGAAGUACUGGACAUACGGCAAGAGAAAAAUAUUGUGGCUGCAUCCACCUGGGAUGUCGUGCUCCUCAAAAUCAAGCGUCUGGCUGGUAGUCCAACUCCAACUGAUCUUGAAAAUAUUGUUACUGCAUACACCACCAGAGAUGUUCUGCUCCUCAAACUCAAGCGUCUGCUGGCUGGUAGUCCAACUCCAACUAAAAGUGAACACGCCCGGAUUCCUCGAGGGAUAGGGAAAAUGACAAACUUGGAGGUACUAUCCACUGUCAAGGCAUCACAGUAUCGCGAUUUCAAAGACAUUGGCAAACUAUGGCAGCUGAGGAAGCUGGGUGUGGUUCUUGACGACGACAAGCCAGACCACCUCACUUAUUUGCUUGAAGCAAUCGGUGAUCUGAGUGAGUCCCUCCAGUCUCUGUCUAUCACUCUAACCCACAGCAAGGGUGGCCUACCUUGCAACACAGACAUAGAAGAAAACAUUGGAGACAAUUACUCAAACAACCCUCCGAAGCUACUUGAGAGCCUAAGAAUCGACGGAUACACAUGCAAGGGGCAGCUUCUUCCAUGGUUGCUCAAAGAUAACAAGCUACCUGCACUUGUCAAGGUAACUCUGCAAAAUACCUAUCUGAACAAGGGUAAUAUGGAACACCUCGCCGAGCUGGACAACUUGUGCUGUCUCAGGCUUAUGUGCCGCGCCUACACCGACAGCAGGCUCUCCUUCCUUUGUGCUAAAUUCAAAAGGCUCAAGUAUCUUCUCGUUGAGUGUGGCAAGCUUGAUGAGAUCGGCUUUGAUGUUGGAGCAGCUCCUGAGCUCAGCAAGAUCGUCUUGUCCUUCACCAGCAUGGAGGAUUCCCUAUCUCCCUGUCUCUCUGGGAUAAGCAAUCUUAUACAGUUGAAGGAGCUCGAGUUCAACCGCGAUGAAAUCCCAAGACAGGUGAUGCAAGAAAUAGCAAACCAUCCAAACAAGAACCUUGCUCUUAGAAGGAUCAAAGCCAGCCAGGGACAAGAAGCUAGCGCAGCUGCAGCGGCUCCUUGA
Molecule: ribosomal RNA, 1344 nt
Filed under: Triticum aestivum (bread wheat)
Lineage: Eukaryota; Viridiplantae; Streptophyta; Magnoliopsida; Poales; Poaceae
Description: partial small subunit ribosomal RNA
Source: RNAcentral